RNAcentral lists this ribosomal RNA (459 nucleotides) under uncultured bacterium. Its description in RNAcentral is "partial 16S ribosomal RNA". It matches the Rfam family "Bacterial small subunit ribosomal RNA", at positions 338 to 795 of the family's 1533-position model. The record is from RNAcentral.
CCUACGGGUGGCAGCAGUGAGGAAUAUUGGUCAAUGGGCGAGAGCCUGAACCAGCCAAGUCGCGUGAGGGAAGACGGUCCUAUGGAUUGUAAACCUCUUUUGUCGGGGAACAAAGCCGGGCACGCGUGCCCGGCUGCGUGUAACCGACGAAAAAGCCUCGGCUAACCCCGUGCCAGCCGCCGCGGUAAUACGGAGGAUGCGAGCGUUAUCCGGAUUUAUUGGGUUUAAAGGGUGCGUAGGCGGACCGUUAAGUCAGCGGUAAAAAUGCGGGGCUCAACCCCGGCCCGCCGUUGAAACUGGGAGUCUUGAGUGGGCGAGAAGUAUGCGGAAUGCGUGGUGUAGCGGUGAAAUGCAUAGAUAUCACGCAGAACUCCGAUUGCGAAGGCAGCAUACCGGCGCCAGACUGACGCUGAGGCACGAAAGCGUGGGGAUCGAACAGGAUUAGAUACCCCGGUAGUC